RNAcentral lists this ribosomal RNA (529 nucleotides) under uncultured bacterium. RNAcentral's name for it is "bacterial SSU rRNA". It matches the Rfam family "Bacterial small subunit ribosomal RNA", at positions 355 to 897 of the family's 1533-position model. The record is from RNAcentral.
CAAGGAAUUUUCCACAAUGGGCGCAAGCCUGAUGGAGCAACGCCGCGUGCAGGACGACGGCCUUCGGGUUGUAAACUGCUUUUGGGGGUGAAGACAUCGACGGUAGCCCCCGAAUAAGCCUCGGCUAACUCUGUGCCAGCAGCCGCGGUAAGACAGAGGAGGCAAGCGUUGUCCGGACUGACUGGGCGUAAAGCGUCCGCAGGUGGUCGUGCAAGUGCGCUGUGAAAGCGGCCCGCUCAACGGGCCGAGGCCAGCGCAGACUGCUCGACUGGAGGUCGGGAGAGGUCGGUGGAAUUGCCGGUGUAGUGGUGAAAUGCGUAGAGAUCGGCAGGAACACCCAAGGGGAAGCCAGCCGACUGGCCCGCACCUGACACUCAGGGACGACAGCGUGGGGAGCGAACCGGAUUAGAUACCCGGGUAGUCCACGCCGUAAACGAUGGACACUGGUCCUCUGGGAGGUAUCCAUUCCUCUUGGGGGGCUCAGCUAACGCGCAAGUGUCCCGCCUGGGAACUACGAGCGCAAGCUUAA